This 28-nucleotide non-coding RNA is filed under the name Rattus norvegicus (Norway rat). The record is from RNAcentral. Lineage: Eukaryota; Metazoa; Chordata; Mammalia; Rodentia; Muridae.
UAGUCUGGUCCCAACGGUGUUUUAUACU